GUCUAAGGCCAUGCCACCCUGAACACAUCUGAUCUCAUCUGAUCUCGGAAGCUAAGCAGAGUCCAGUCCGGUUAGUACUUGGAUGAGAGACCUAGGAAUACUGGGUGCUGUAAGCU
Molecule: ribosomal RNA, 116 nt
Filed under: Pteropus alecto (black flying fox)
Lineage: Eukaryota; Metazoa; Chordata; Mammalia; Chiroptera; Pteropodidae
Source: RNAcentral